GCGAACGUGGCGGAACUGGCAGACGCACUGGAUUUAGGUUCCAGCGGUUAACAGCCAUCCGGGUUCGACCCCCGGCGUUCGCACCA
Molecule: transfer RNA, 86 nt
Filed under: Bryobacterales bacterium
Lineage: Bacteria; Pseudomonadati; Acidobacteriota; Terriglobia; Bryobacterales
Description: tRNA-Leu
Rfam family: tRNA
About the family: Transfer RNA (tRNA) molecules are approximately 80 nucleotides in length. Their secondary structure includes four short double-helical elements and three loops (D, anti-codon, and T loops).
Source: RNAcentral